CUCUGAUUGAAAAAUGCCCGGGCCUAAUUUUUUCCCCAGUCCGGCCCUGCAUGUGGACAUCACACCCACAGUCUGACAUUUCUACAUCCUGAUACAGCUUCCCAAAAAUUCCAGCAGCUUCCUUUUAACUAACCAAAAUGUAAGGAAUUUAAAUAAGAGAAAAUGGAAUGACUGCUUCAGCUCCCUAACAACCUACAAUGUAAAAGAUAUAAGAUAUUAUACCGCAAUAUUUCGGCAAAGGAUGAAACACUAACAGUUUUUAUUCACAAAAUGCAAACCGUUUGCAAAAUAAGUCCAAAUGGGAAAAAAAAGAAAAAUCUGAUCUGUAAAAAUUCUCUGAGCCAGUCAUAGCUUGACUAUUUAACCUUAGUUUUGCCAUUCAUACUUUACAAGGGACACUAUAGGCACCCAGAUCACUUCAUCUCACUGAAACGGUUUGGGUGCAGUGUCCUUAUCCCCCUUCGUCCUGCAAUGU
This is a non-coding RNA of Pelobates cultripes (western spadefoot toad), 475 nucleotides long. The record is from the annotation of a GenBank genome assembly. Lineage: Eukaryota; Metazoa; Chordata; Amphibia; Anura; Pelobatidae.